RNAcentral lists this ribosomal RNA (1777 nucleotides) under Meloidogyne arenaria. Its description in RNAcentral is "SSU rRNA". It matches the Rfam family "Eukaryotic small subunit ribosomal RNA". Lineage: Eukaryota; Metazoa; Nematoda; Chromadorea; Rhabditida; Meloidogynidae. The record is from RNAcentral.
UCUGGUUGAUCCUGCCUGAACUGAUGUGUUUAUUUCAAAGAUUAAGCCAUGCAUGUAUAAGUUUAAUCGUUUAUCGAGAAACCGCGAACGGCUCAUUACAAUGGCCAUUAUUUACUUGAUCUUGAUUGUCUAAAUGGAUAACUGUGGAAAAGCUAGAGCUAAUACAUGCACUAAAGCUUUGUCCUUACGGAAAAGCGCAUUUAUUAGAACAAAACCACGCGACUUCGGCUGCUUCUUGUUGACUCAGAAUAACUUAGCUGACCGCAUGGCCUUGUGCCGGCGGCGUGUCUUUCAAGCGUCCACUUUAUCAACUUGACGGGAGCAUAAUCGACUCCCGUGGUGGUGACGGAUAACGGAGGAUCAGGGUUCGACUCCGGAGAAGGGGCCUGAGAAAUGGCCACUACGUCUAAGGAUGGCAGCAGGCGCGCAAAUUACCCACUCUCGGCUCGAGGAGGUAGUGACGAGAAAUAACGAGACUGUUCUCUUUGAGGCCGGUCAUCGGAAUGGGUACAAUUUAAACCCUUUAACGAGUAUCAAGCAGAGGGUAAGUCUGGUGCCAGCAGCCGCGGUAAUUCCAGCUCUGCAAAUACAUAGAAUUAUUGCUGCGGUUAGAAAGCUCAUAGUUGGAUUCGUAUCGAUACCUUGGAACCCUUCGGGUGUCUCUAGGUGUUAUCGAUUUAUCGUAAUGUUCGGUUUUGAGUCCUUAACAGGAUUCUUAACAGGCAUUGCAAGUUUACUUUGAACAAAUCAGAGUGCUUCAAACAGGCGUUUUCGCUUGAAUGAUCGUGCAUGGAAUAAUAGAAAAUGAUUUCGGUUCAGUUUUAUUGGUUUUACGGACUGAGAUAAUGGUUAACAGAGACAAACGGGGGCAUUUGUAUGGUCCCGUGAGAGGUGAAAUUCUUGGACCGUGGCCAGACAAACUACAGCGAAAGCAUUUGCCAACAAUGUUUUUAUUAAUCAAGAACGAAAGUCAGAGGUUCGAAGGCGAUCAGAUACCGCCCUAGUUCUGACCGUAAACGAUGCCAACUAGCGAUCCGCCGAUGGAAAUUAUAUUGCCUUGGUGGGGAGCUUCCCGGAAACGAAAGUCUUCCGGUUCCGGGGGAAGUAUGGUUGCAAAGCUGAAACUUAAAGGAAUUGACGGAAGGGCACCACCAGGAGUGGAGCCUGCGGCUUAAUUUGACUCAACACGGGGAAACUCACCCGGCCCGGACACUGUGAGGAUUGACAGAUUGAUAGCUUUUUCAUGAUUCAGUGUAUGGUGGUGCAUGGCCGUUCUUAGUUCGUGGAGUGAUUUGUCUGGUUUAUUCCGAUAACGAGCGAGACUCUAACCUACUAAAUAGUUGGUACAUACUCUUAGUGUAUACAGCUUCUUAGAGGGAUUUGCGGCGUUCAGCCGAAAGAAAUUGAGCAAUAACAGGUCUGUGAUGCCCUUAGAUGUCCGGGGCUGCACGCGCGCUACACUGGCAAAAUCAACGUGCUUGUCCUACCCUGAAAGGGGCGGGUAAACCAUUGAAAAUUUGCCGUGAUUGGGAUCGGAAAUUGCAAUUAUUUUCCGUGAACGAGGAAUUCCAAGUAAGUGCGAGUCAUCAGCUCGCGUUGAUUACGUCCCUGCCCUUUGUACACACCGCCCGUCGCUGCCCGGGACUGAGCCAUUUCGAGAAAUUUGGGGACCGUUGAUUUAAUUUUUCUAAAUUACUUUGAUGGAAACCAAUUUAAUCGCAGUGGCUUGAACCGGGCAAAAGUCGUAACAAGGUAGCUGUAGGUGAACCUGCUGCUG